CGGCGGACGGUGAGUAACACGUGGAUAACCUACCUAUAAGACUGGGAUAACUUCGGGAAACCGGAGCUAAUACCGGAUAAUAUAUUGAACCGCAUGGUUCAAUAGUGAAAGACGGUUUUGCUGUCACUUAUAGAUGGAUCCGCGCCGCAUUAGCUAGUUGGUAAGGUAACGGCUUACCAAGGCAACGAUGCGUAGCCGACCUGAGAGGGUGAUCGGCCACACUGGAACUGAGACACGGUCCAGACUCCUACGGGAGGCAGCAGUG
Molecule: ribosomal RNA, 265 nt
Filed under: uncultured Staphylococcus sp.
Lineage: Bacteria; Bacillati; Bacillota; Bacilli; Caryophanales; Staphylococcaceae
Description: partial 16S ribosomal RNA
Rfam family: Bacterial small subunit ribosomal RNA
Source: RNAcentral